RNAcentral lists this ribosomal RNA (302 nucleotides) under uncultured bacterium. RNAcentral's name for it is "bacterial SSU rRNA". It matches the Rfam family "Bacterial small subunit ribosomal RNA", at positions 775 to 1067 of the family's 1533-position model. The record is from RNAcentral.
GGAUUAGAUACCCUGGUAGUCCACGCCGUAAACGAUGUGCACUAGAUCGAGGGGGUUCUGACACUGCUCUCGGUCGAAGCGAAAGUGUUAAGUGCACCGCCUGGGGAGUACGGUCGCAAGGCUAAAACUCAAAGGAAUUGACGGGGGCUCACACAAGCGGUGGAGCAUGUGGCUUAAUUCGAAGCAACGCGAAGAACCUUAUCCUGGAUUUGACAUGUACUGAUUAGUUCAUGGAAACAUGAGUGACGCUGCUUGCAGUGGAACGUACACAAGUGCUGCAUGGCUGUCGUCAGCUCGUGCUG